This 451-nucleotide ribosomal RNA is filed under the name uncultured bacterium. Its description in RNAcentral is "partial 16S ribosomal RNA". It matches the Rfam family "Bacterial small subunit ribosomal RNA", at positions 29 to 523 of the family's 1533-position model. The record is from RNAcentral.
AGCGAACGCUGGCGGCAGGCUUAACACAUGCAAGUCGAGCGGAUGUAGCAAUACAUCAGCGGCAGACGGGAGAGUAACACGUGGGAACGCGCCCUUCGGUUCGGAAUAACUCAGGGAAACUUGAGCUAAUACCGGAUACGCCCUAACGGGGAAAGAUUUAUCGCCGAAGGAACGGCCCGCGUCCGAUUAGCUAGUUGGUGAGGUAAUGGCUCACCAAGGCGACGAUCGGUAGCUGGUCUGAGAGGAUGGCCAGCCUCACUGGGACUGAGACACGGCCCAGACUCCUACGGGAGGCAGCAGUGGGGAAUAUUGGACAAUGGGCGCAAGCCUGAUCCAGCCAUGCCGCGUGGAUGAUGAAGGCCUUAGGGUUGUAAAUUCCUUUUAACGGGGAAGAUAAUGACGGUACCCGUAGAAUAAGCCCCGGCUAACUUCGUGCCAGCCGCCGCAGUAA